AGUGAACGCUGGCGGUAGGCCUAACACAUGCAAGUCGAACGGCAGCACAGUAAGAGCUUGCUCUUACGGGUGGCGAGUGGCGGACGGGUGAGGAAUACAUCGGAAUCUACUUUUUCGUGGGGGAUAACGUAGGGAAACUUACGCUAAUACCGCAUACGACCUACGGGUGAAAGCAGGGGAUCUUCGGACCUUGCGCGAUUGAAUGAGCCGCUGUCGGAUUAGCUAGUUGGCGGGGUAAAGGCCCACCAAGGCGACGAUCCGUAGCUGGUCUGAGAGGAUGAUCAGCCACACUGGAACUGAGACACGGUCCAGACUCCUACGGGAGGCAGCAGUGGGGAAUAUUGGACAAUGGGCGCAAGCCUGAUCCAGCCAUACCGCGUGGGUGAAGAAGGCCUUCGGGUUGUAAAGACCUUUUGUUGGGAAAGAAAAGCAGCAGGUUAAUACCCAGCUGUUCUGACGGUACCCAAAGAAUAAGCACCGGCUAACUUCGUG
RNAcentral lists this ribosomal RNA (492 nucleotides) under uncultured bacterium. Its description in RNAcentral is "partial 16S ribosomal RNA". It matches the Rfam family "Bacterial small subunit ribosomal RNA", at positions 29 to 507 of the family's 1533-position model. The record is from RNAcentral.